AAACUACCCCUUAAGUAUUGACUUUUUUGCAGUUUUGGCCUCCCAGGCCAAUUUUGACAAAGUCAAUGCACACAUGGACGCCACGUGUGUAUUUAUUUUAUUACUUUUUAAUUAAAAAAAUUAUAUAUAUUUUUAUUUUUUAAUAAUUAAAAAAUAAAUAAAUACAUACGUGGCGUCCACGUCAGCUUUGACUUGGUCAAAAUUGACAUGGGGGCCAAAACUGCAAAAAAGUCAAUACUUAGGGGGCGGUUU
This is a microRNA precursor of Medicago truncatula (barrel medic), 252 nucleotides long. It matches the Rfam family "MIR2619 microRNA precursor family". The record is from Rfam. NCBI's taxonomy places the organism in Eukaryota, Viridiplantae, Streptophyta, Magnoliopsida, Fabales, Fabaceae.